GAUGAACGCUGGCGGCGUGCCUAAUACAUGCAAGUCGAGCGAACAGACGAGGAGCUUGCUCCUCUGACGUUAGCGGCGGACGGGUGAGUAACACGUGGAUAACCUACCUAUAAGACUGGGAUAACUUCGGGAAACCGGAGCUAAUACCGGAUAAUAUAUUGAACCGCAUGGUUCAAUAGUGAAAGACGGUUUUGCUGUCACUUAUAGCUGGAUCCGCGCCGCAUUAGCUAGUUGGUAAGGUAACGGCUUACCAAGGGAACGAUGCGUAGCCGACCUGAGAGGGUGGUCGGCCACACUGGAACUGAGACACGGUCCAGACUCCUACGGGCGGCAGCAGUAGGGAAUCUUCCGCAAUGGGCGAAAGCCUGACGGAGCAACGCCGCGUGAGUGAUGAAGGGCUUCGGAUCGUAAAACUCUGUUAUUAGGGAAGAACAAAUGUGUAAGGAACUAUGCACGUCUUGACGGUACCUAAUCAGAAAGCCACGGCUAACUACGUG
RNAcentral lists this ribosomal RNA (497 nucleotides) under uncultured bacterium. RNAcentral describes it as "partial 16S ribosomal RNA". It matches the Rfam family "Bacterial small subunit ribosomal RNA", at positions 28 to 507 of the family's 1533-position model. The record is from RNAcentral.